Molecule: long non-coding RNA, 1191 nt
Filed under: Chrysemys picta bellii (western painted turtle)
Lineage: Eukaryota; Metazoa; Chordata; Testudines; Emydidae
Description: lncRNA (ENSCPBG00000015310.1)
Source: RNAcentral
GGAAACCAAGGGCCCGAUUCGCAGCUGUGCUACUGACUUCAGUGGGAUCGGGCUCAGGAUCGGGUCCGGGAUGAGGGAGGCGGGGAAGAGAGAAUAAAACCCCAUCACCGCAGCAGCGCUGAACUCCUCGCUGCCACUUCAGCCACAGCCUCGUGGCUACUGCGGACACCCCGCGUCCCUCUCCCCGACCUCUUCCCGGCCACUGGCUACCCGCGGUGGGGCAGCUCCCUCCCCCCGCUGUUCUAACCAAUCCCGCUGCCGGGGGGCGGAGGCGGAGGCUGGCUCCGCAUUUGUUAGUCCCUGUGGUGCAGAUGAAGGCAGGCGCCCGCUGCGAAGCGAAGAGGGACUCGCUGUGCGGCCAGAGCGCCCGGCUCCCGUUCCGGCUCCGCCCGUCCUCAAAGUUGGAGCAGGCUCGGGGCAAAGAGCAUGCAGGGCUGGACACCGCCGCAGAGCAAGGGCCAGCGCUCCCCACGCCUCCGGCUCCGCCCUGCCCCCUGCGAUGAACAAGCGGCUGCUGCUGCUCCUCCCCAGGAGGCUGCCUGGACCCCCAGGUUCCAGCCUUUUCAGUAUCUCCUCAUGUCUUCAACUUUUACCAUCUCUGCUAAACAAGUGUCUGGUUACAAGUCAGUGGUCUGCUUGGAGCAGCUACUCUAACUCCAGCCUCCAAAACUGAGGAAGGAAGAAAGCUAUAUAUUUGAAGGUCCCAACACACUCCUUCACUUCCCCCUUCAUCCUCCACUUCCUGUUAGGGAAAUCCCACCAAAUUUCCUGGGUCCUCCCUUUCCUCCAUAUUUAUGAGACAGAAAUCCCAGAUUACUGGGUUAGCAGUCCCUAUUAAGUGACGAAGGAGACUCCCCUGCUAUACACACAUCAUGUUAUCUUAUUAAAAGCUAUUUUGAUGGCCCUUGUUUCCCAUUAAUUCCCUUAUUUCCCUUGGCUUUCAGGCCAAACCACACAGCUGGUAAGUUAAGUUGGAAUCAGUGGAAAACAGCAGCUAUACCAUGAUGCUGUUGACAUCAACAGAAGCAGUAUAAUGCCCAAGAGGAAUUAAGGUUGCUCAGAUUAACCAGGUGGCAUUGAACACCUUGAGAGGUACCUGGCAUCUUGUAGGAUCAGAGCCAGAAGGAAAAUCUAUUUACCAUCCUUGUAAGGCUAUGCUCGGUCUGGUGUCUCUGUAGUGCAAUCCAUAGA